This 660-nucleotide ribosomal RNA is filed under the name Brachybacterium sp. PB15. RNAcentral's name for it is "bacterial SSU rRNA". It matches the Rfam family "Bacterial small subunit ribosomal RNA", at positions 380 to 1053 of the family's 1533-position model. Lineage: Bacteria; Bacillati; Actinomycetota; Actinomycetes; Micrococcales; Dermabacteraceae. The record is from RNAcentral.
AGCCUGAUGCAGCGACGCCGCGUGGGGGAUGACGGCCUUCGGGUUGUAAACCCCUUUCAGUAGGGAAGAAGCGAGAGUGACGGUACCUGCAGAAGAAGCGCCGGCUAACUACGUGCCAGCAGCCGCGGUAAUACGUAGGGCGCAAGCGUUGUCCGGAAUUAUUGGGCGUAAAGAGCUUGUAGGUGGCUUGUCGCGUCUGCCGUGAAAACCCGAGGCUCAACCUCGGGCGUGCGGUGGGUACGGGCAGGCUAGAGUGUGGUAGGGGAGACUGGAACUCCUGGUGUAGCGGUGAAAUGCGCAGAUAUCAGGAAGAACACCGAUGGCGAAGGCAGGUCUCUGGGCCAUUACUGACACUGAGAAGCGAAAGCAUGGGUAGCGAACAGGAUUAGAUACCCUGGUAGUCCAUGCCGUAAACGUUGGGCACUAGGUGUGGGGGACAUUCCACGUUUUCCGCGCCGUAGCUAACGCAUUAAGUGCCCCGCCUGGGGAGUACGGCCGCAAGGCUAAAACUCAAAGGAAUUGACGGGGGCCCGCACAAGCGGCGGAGCAUGCUGAUUAAUUCGAUGCAACGCGAAGAACCUUACCAAGGCUUGACAUGCACUGGACGGCUGCAGAGAUGUGGCUUUCUUUGGACUGGUGCACAGGUGGUGCAUGGUUGUC